GGCAAAUUAUCCUCAUAAGUUCAACAACAAGAGGUGCCUACUGUUUUAAAUCUAAAAUUUAAUUAUAGUAAGGUUAAGUAAAUCGGAGGCCCCGACUGUUUACUAAAAACACAAGAAAAAGCAAACACGAAAGUGAUAGUAUUUUUUCUGACAUUUGCCCGAUGCCAUUAAUAUAAAAAAGGUCAUUGAAAGAUGUGACUAAUUGAAAGUCUGGUUAAUAGCGGUCUUAACCAUGAGGAUCCUAAGGUAGCAAAAUCAGUUGGCCAUUAAAUGUGGUCCGGUAUCAAUAAUCUAACGAUGGUCUCACUGUCUCUACAACUUGCUCAGUGAAAUUGAAUUACCCGUGAAGAUGCGGGUUAUCUUCAGAGGGACGGGAAGACCCUAUGCAGCUUCUACUG
RNAcentral lists this ribosomal RNA (398 nucleotides) under Gloiocephala aquatica. RNAcentral's name for it is "LSU rRNA". It matches the Rfam family "Bacterial large subunit ribosomal RNA", at positions 1716 to 2106 of the family's 2925-position model. The record is from RNAcentral. Lineage: Eukaryota; Fungi; Basidiomycota; Agaricomycetes; Agaricales; Physalacriaceae.